This 497-nucleotide ribosomal RNA is filed under the name uncultured bacterium. RNAcentral describes it as "partial 16S ribosomal RNA". It matches the Rfam family "Bacterial small subunit ribosomal RNA", at positions 28 to 507 of the family's 1533-position model. The record is from RNAcentral.
GAUGAACGCUGGCGGCGUGCCUAAUACAUGCAAGUCGAGCGAACAGACGAGGAGCUUGCUCCUCUGACGUUAGCGGCGGACGGGUGAGUAACACGUGGAUAACCUACCUAUAAGACUGGGAUAACUUCGGGAAACCGGAGCUAAUACCGGAUAAUAUAUUGAACCGCAUGGUUCAAUAGUGAAAGACGGUUUUGCUGUCACUAAUAGAUUGAUCCGCGCCGCAUUAGCUAGUUGGUAAGGUAACGGCUUAUCAAGGCAACGAUGCGUAGCCGACCUGAGAGGGUGAUCGGCCACACUGGAACUGAGACACGGUCCAGACUCCUACGGGAGGCAGCAGUAGGGAAUCUUCCGCAAUGGGCGAAAGCCUGACGGAGCAACGCCGCGUGAGUGAUGAAGGUCUUCGGAUCGUAAAACUCUGUUAUUAGGGAAGAACAAAUGUGUAAGUAACUAUGCACGUCUUGACGGUACCUAAUCAGAAAGCCACGGCUAACUACGUG